CGCUGGGGUGGAGCAGCCCGGUAGCUCGUCAGGCUCAUAACCUGAAGGCCGCAGGUUCAAAUCCUGCCCCCGCAACCA
RNAcentral lists this transfer RNA (78 nucleotides) under Rhizobium sp. RCAM05350. RNAcentral describes it as "tRNA-Met". It matches the Rfam family "tRNA". From Rfam's summary of the family: Transfer RNA (tRNA) molecules are approximately 80 nucleotides in length. Lineage: Bacteria; Pseudomonadati; Pseudomonadota; Alphaproteobacteria; Hyphomicrobiales; Rhizobiaceae. The record is from RNAcentral.